RNAcentral lists this ribosomal RNA (497 nucleotides) under uncultured bacterium. Its description in RNAcentral is "partial 16S ribosomal RNA". It matches the Rfam family "Bacterial small subunit ribosomal RNA", at positions 28 to 507 of the family's 1533-position model. The record is from RNAcentral.
GAUGAACGCUGGCGGCGUGCCUAAUACAUGCAAGUCGAGCGAACAGACGAGGAGCUUGCUCCUCUGACGUUAGCGGCGGACGGGUGAGUAACACGUGGAUAACCUACCUAUAAUACUGGGAUAACUUCGGGAAACCGGAGCUAAUACCGGAUAAUAUAUUGAACCGCAUGGUUCAAUAGUGAAAGUCGGUUUUGCUGUCUCGUAUAGAUGCAUCUCGGCCGCAUUAGCUAGUUGUGAAGUUAACGGCCUACCAAGGCAACGAUGCGUAGCCGACCUGAGAGAGUGAUAGGCCGCACUGGAACUGGAACGCGGUCCAGACUCCUGCGGGAGGGAGCAGUAGGGAAUCUUCCGCAGUGGGCGAGAGCCUGACGGAGCAACGCCGCGUGAGAGAUAAAGGUCUUCGGAUCGUAAAGCUCUGUUAUGAGGGAAGAACAAAUGUGUAAGUAACUAUGCACGUCUUGACGGUACCUGAUCAGAAAGCCACGGCUAACUACGUG